GGGACAACUCGCCGUAUCGGAGACUGGGAUGACUGUCGGGAGGAGGGGAGUGGUGUCGGGGCAGGGGGGGAAUCUGGGCAGCGGCUGGGCUCUGUGCUUCGGGGCUCGGAGAGAGAGAGAGGGAGGGUGGCAAAGAGAGUGAGUCGGUGCCGCCGCCUAAGGAGAGAGGAGGGUCCCGCUUGCCUGCGCCCUUCGCUGGCCGAGGGCACGAGACACCAGCGAACCUCUGAGGCCUCCCGGCCCCUGGGGACCCCGCCCCGCCGCCGGCCGACUGGCCCCGCGGCCUCUCUUCCCUUUGUGAGCGCCCCCUUCCCAGGGGUGGUGGUGGUGGCGGAGGGCUGUCCGUGGGCCCGCCCGCCGAGGGGCCGCGGCGGGGGACCGAUAGAGCUUCGGCUGUGUUAGGACGCGAGGCGACCGAGGCCCGGGCCGGUUCCCCCGAGGCGGCGGCGGCUCCCGGCACUUACACGAGCCAUCUUAGCUGAGCCCAAGCGCUGAGGGCGCCUCCUCGACCCCGGUCGUCCCCUCGCCGCCCCCCCUCUUUGCCCCUUGUCGCAGAGCUUGGGCUGGGCGGCUUGCUGGGGCUUGGGGGGGGCGGUGGUGUGUCGCCUGCCACCCUCCUCCUCACUCCUUGCUCUCCAGCGUAGCGGCUACCCAAGCGCUCCCCGGUAGCGCUUCUACCCGGACCUGUCGGCGAAAGGAUGGAGAAAUCGAGGCCAUGCCAACUUGACCAACCUUUCACUCUUACUAUAAAGGAUAUAAUAAAUAUUUGAGUGUCAGCUCUCCAGCAUCUGAACUCUCAUCCUUUCAAUUGCCUCACUUUCCCGGAGCUUGCCAGAGCUCUCAGAAAUACUGUAAUCCAAUAGUUCUCAACAUUUCCUCUUCCCCGCGUUCAUAUUCCUAUAAAAAAAACAGCUCUCACUGCAUGUGCUUCUCCGUGACCGGAAAGGGGCAGGGAGAGUCACACCAUGUUCCUCUUCUUUCCUUCCUGUAGGAAAGCAGCUAACAGAAUCCCCAGGAGGCUUGCCCUCCCUGAAAAUACUGAUAGCUCCCAAAUCCUCCUUCCAUCCCAUGUAUAUUUUUAUUAAGAAUCUCUGAUAGUCUAAACUCUGCAUUUUACAAGUGAGAAAUUGGCUGCCCAAUUGGGUAAAUUGUUUGUAAAUGGAUGUUCACUUCAGGUGAGUCUACAACUGGGGGGAUGUUUGAGUAUCUCAGCAGAGGAGCUAGACUCAUUCAAGGUCAUCUUCAAACUGACACCUCUUCGGGCAGAGAGAGACACACCUUGGGACUUCUUGCAGCUGGUACAGGGAUCCCAAGGCUGUGCUCGAGCAGGUAAGAUUAAUCCAAGUCUGAUGUAGCCUGAUCAUUCAGCUCCCCCCCCUGCCCCCAUGAGUCUCCUCCUUUGGCCUUCCCAGCUGCCCUAAAGGCAGGUCUGGAUGGAGCAGGACUAUCCAGAAUUCCUUGGCUCUUGGGUAAUGAGGUGCUAGCAAUAUGCUCUGCUUUCCAGAAAGCCCUUAUUUUGUUGGAGUCCUUUCAUUCCUGAACUUUCCCCAAAGGAAGCCAAGUGGAGGCUGUAGGGCCAGAGUGACGGAGGAGGAUGGAGAGAAGCUGGCAUGGCUGAGAAUUCUCAAGCCUGGUCUUCUCUCUGCUUCAAGAGUCUCUACUGCAGACCCUGGCACCCAUGACUGCCCUGGUUGCCCCGGCCUCUGUGACUGACCACUCUGGGGAGUUCUGUCUCACUGACCCACUGAUCUUUCCACCUCAGGCCUUGAAGCUGCCUCGCAGGUUUUGGGGGGAACUUUCAGAUCCUGGAUGUUUGCUCUUUGCCCAUUUCUCCAGCAGCCUGCCUUCAUAACUCUUAUUAUUUCCUCUUAUGUUUGCAUACAGCUCUCUGGCUACAAAGUACUUCCACAUACUAUGUUUUUUUAAUCCUCCUUCUAGUCCUGUGAACUGGUAUAUCAUACCCUAGAUGGUGUGUCUGCUAACAGAGGGAAGCUCCUGUUUGAACUCAGACCUCAUUAUUCCAGAAGCUAUAUCUUUCUAUUAUUCAACGUGGAGAGAAAAUUCAAGAAGAGAUCCCACAUUCAUCUCUUAGCUAUUUGUGGACACUGGCAAAUAAAACAUUAACAUUUACUACACUAAGUGAAGUCCUAGAUGUCUCUGAAUUUUUAUAAGAAUUUUCGCUUUGCAACCCAAUUUUCAAGUUGUUAUUUCAUCUGGUCCUGAAAACAGAGAAAAGAAAGCAUCUGUCCCUUUUCUCUGCAUGGCACCCAUUUUGCACUGCCCUCCUCUUCUUCUCUCUUUCUUUUCAUAAGAAUAUCCUGCUCUCCUUGCCAACAUGAUUUGUUUAGGGAUAUAGAAAUACGGUCUACACCGGACCAGUCUGUUUUCCCGGAAGCUUCUGCAGGAAUUUUUGGAAAGACUUAUUUCUCAUUGGGAAUAAACUAUGGAUGUGGGGUCUUUUCUUCACAUGGAAAAACGCUACCUGAGAACUGAAGAGAACAACAGAAUCUUACCUAUUUUGACUGAACCCUAGGAUCUGGCCUUGCCUGACUUUUGUAUUUUUCUGGCCUUUUUAAUGAUAUAAAUUAAUGAAUCAACACAUUCCUUUUUCCUUAAUCUUGAUUAAAUUGGGGUUUUUCUCACCAAUUCCCAAAGUACUUUAAUUUCUACUUAAAAGAAAUCAGAGAGGUCAUAUAAAUCUGUAAGGAUUUCAUAGCUGACAGUGGUAUACAUGAUGCUGCAAAAAAUUCUUCUUUUAGAAGAUAGUAUCUCCUUUUGCUAAAGCACAGAUACCUCAGCAAGAAGAUAUAUUCAUGAAGGUCAACGCAGAGCACUGAACUGCGCACUUUACCUGAUGUAUUAUGUGUAACCUUUCUUGACAGACAGGUGACCUUGAAACUGAGUAAUUCUCAUCUGGCUCCACCAGGUGGUUUGGCCCAGACCCAACAUUGGUCCCCUAGCCUGACCUUGGUCAUAUCUGUGCCUUUUAUGAUUGGUUCAAGGUCAGGCAGCUGUUCUGUUAGCUCUGCACACUCUUUCACAGCAAGGCUGAUACUGUGUAUACGUGGUCCUUCCUGCCUGUGCAAGGGCCCAUUGCUCAGAGCCUCCCCUCAGGUCAGGC
Molecule: long non-coding RNA, 3121 nt
Organism: Manis pentadactyla (Chinese pangolin)
Lineage: Eukaryota; Metazoa; Chordata; Mammalia; Pholidota; Manidae
Exons: 3
Source: RefSeq, a predicted model, not a curated record